This 845-nucleotide ribosomal RNA is filed under the name uncultured Staphylococcus sp. Its description in RNAcentral is "bacterial SSU rRNA". It matches the Rfam family "Bacterial small subunit ribosomal RNA", at positions 69 to 896 of the family's 1533-position model. The record is from RNAcentral. Lineage: Bacteria; Bacillati; Bacillota; Bacilli; Caryophanales; Staphylococcaceae.
ACAGACGAGGAGCUUGCUCCUCUGACGUUAGCGGCGGACGGGUGAGUAACACGUGGAUAACCUACCUAUAAGACUGGGAUAACUUCGGGAAACCGGAGCUAAUACCGGAUAAUAUAUUGAACCGCAUGGUUCAAUAGUGAAAGACGGUUUUGCUGUCACUUAUAGAUGGAUCCGCGCCGCAUUAGCUAGUUGGUAAGGUAACGGCUUACCAAGGCAACGAUGCGUAGCCGACCUGAGAGGGUGAUCGGCCACACUGGAACUGAGACACGGUCCAGACUCCUACGGGAGGCAGCAGUAGGGAAUCUUCCGCAAUGGGCGAAAGCCUGACGGAGCAACGCCGCGUGAGUGAUGAAGGUCUUCGGAUCGUAAAACUCUGUUAUUAGGGAAGAACAAAUGUGUAAGUAACUAUGCACGUCUUGACGGUACCUAAUCAGAAAGCCACGGCUAACUACGUGCCAGCAGCCGCGGUAAUACGUAGGUGGCAAGCGUUAUCCGGAAUUAUUGGGCGUAAAGCGCGCGUAGGCGGUUUUUUAAGUCUGAUGUGAAAGCCCACGGCUCAACCGUGGAGGGUCAUUGGAAACUGGAAAACUUGAGUGCAGAAGAGGAAAGUGGAAUUCCAUGUGUAGCGGUGAAAUGCGCAGAGAUAUGGAGGAACACCAGUGGCGAAGGCGACUUUCUGGUCUGUAACUGACGCUGAUGUGCGAAAGCGUGGGGAUCAAACAGGAUUAGAUACCCUGGUAGUCCACGCCGUAAACGAUGAGUGCUAAGUGUUAGGGGGUUUCCGCCCCUUAGUGCUGCAGCUAACGCAUUAAGCACUCCGCCUGGGGAGUACGACCGCAAGGUUG